RNAcentral lists this ribosomal RNA (1160 nucleotides) under Janthinobacterium sp. CAN_S1. RNAcentral describes it as "partial 23S ribosomal RNA". It matches the Rfam family "Bacterial large subunit ribosomal RNA", at positions 1 to 1209 of the family's 2925-position model. The record is from RNAcentral. Lineage: Bacteria; Pseudomonadati; Pseudomonadota; Betaproteobacteria; Burkholderiales; Oxalobacteraceae.
GGACAAGCGAAUAAGUGCACAUGGUGGAUGCCUUGGCGAUUACAGGCGAUGAAGGACGUAGUAGCUUGCGAUAAGCUGCGGGGAGUGAGCAAACACACUUUGAUCCGCAGAUUUCCGAAUGGGGCAACCCACCCUUUUAGGGUAUUGCAUACUGAAUACAUAGGUAUGCAAGGCGAACGCGGCGAACUGAAACAUCUAAGUAGCUGCAGGAAAAGAAAUCAACCGAGAUUCCCAAAGUAGCGGCGAGCGAAAUGGGAAGAGCCUGUACGUGAUAGUCGGACCGAUAACAGAAUCCUCUGGAAAUAGGAGCCAUAGUGGGUGAUAGCCCCGUAUGUGAAAUCGGACCGGUGAUACUAAGCGUACGACAAGUAGGGCGGGACACGUGACAUCCUGUCUGAAUAUGGGGGGACCAUCCUCCAAGGCUAAAUACUCGUAAUCGACCGAUAGUGAACCAGUACCGUGAGGGAAAGGCGAAAAGAACCCCGGAAGGGGAGUGAAAUAGAUCCUGAAACCGUGUGCAUACAAACAGUAGGAGCGGACUUGUUCCGUGACUGCGUACCUUUUGUAUAAUGGGUCAGCGACUUACAUUCAGUGGCAAGGUUAACCGCAUAGGGAAGCCGUAGAGAAAUCGAGUCCGAAUAGGGCGAUCAGUCGCUGGGUGUAGACCCGAAACCAAGUGAUCUACUCAUGGCCAGGAUGAAGGUGCGGUAACACGCCCUGGAGGUCCGAACCCACUAAUGUUGAAAAAUUAGGGGAUGAGCUGUGGGUAGGGGUGAAAGGCUAAACAAACUUGGAAAUAGCUGGUUCUCUCCGAAAACUAUUUAGGUAGUGCCUCAAGUAUCACCAUCGGGGGUAGAGCACUGUUAUGGCUAGGGGGUCAUUGCGACUUACCAAACCAUUGCAAACUCCGAAUACCGAUGAGUGCGAGCUUGGGAGACAGACGUCGGGUGCUAACGUCCGGCGUCAAGAGGGAAACAACCCAGACCGCCAGCUAAGGUCCCAAAGAUUGGCUAAGUGGAAAACGAAGUGGGAAGGCUAAAACAGUCAGGAUGUUGGCUUAGAAGCAGCCAUCAUUUAAAGAAAGCGUAAUAGCUCACUGAUCGAGUCGUCCUGCGCGGAAGAUGUAACGGGGCUAAGCCAGUCACCGAAGCUGCGGAUAU